This 340-nucleotide long non-coding RNA is filed under the name Physcomitrium patens. Its description in RNAcentral is "long non-coding RNA (PPAT_LNC002990)". Lineage: Eukaryota; Viridiplantae; Streptophyta; Bryopsida; Funariales; Funariaceae. The record is from RNAcentral.
ACAUGCGGCACAGUAAAGAUUACCAUAAGUACUACAACAUUAGGAUCCACACAUCCAAUUUCAUCAGGAGUUGAGGCAAAUGCCUUACCAUGCCUAAUAAGUAUUUCUUGAAAUAUAACUUUCUUCGUUGAUGUCAAGAAAUCAUCCCCUCCAAUCUUCAAUUUAAUUAAUGAUUCUUGAAUAAAUUGAUGCCCAAUUCAACGUCCUUCUCUUAGACUUGGCUCCUUAAUUACUUGGUUGAUAUGAUCCAUAGUAUCAAUUGGUAAUUGAGUAGCUAUAGGCUUUACCUUUCUUGCUACAGCUUUAUAAUUAGUUUGUACUCUAGCUUCAUAUUUCAAUC